Long non-coding RNA from Silurus meridionalis, 2700 nucleotides. RefSeq lists it as uncharacterized. The record is from RefSeq and is a predicted model, not a curated record. The transcript is spliced from 3 exons. Lineage: Eukaryota; Metazoa; Chordata; Actinopteri; Siluriformes; Siluridae.
UCCAACUUGCAAAUUGUUAACUCAGUUUAAAAUUAUAAGUUAGGUGGACAUAUUUUUGAGCACAGUGUUGAGUUUAUUUAUAAAAAAAGAUUUAACUGCAUGUUUACUACUAUUUUGUCUAAUAAAAAUAAACAAUUAAGUUGGAAAAACGUAACAUCUUGAUUUCUUCAUUCAAGCAAUUCACAUCCUGUUAUUGCACAUGCGCAGUCUGUUUCCCUAGCAUUGUGCACAGGGUUUCCACAUCAUCAACUGCAUUUUAGAAGGGGCUGGAUGUUCUCUGGUUCAGGUAAGCUUUCUUUAAGUUUUAUUAUCGAAAAGAACCUAAAUAAUUUACACAAAUGCUUAACGUAAAAUGUAACGUUGUUUUUGGAAAGACUAUUUUAAGGAAUGUAAUGAUAUUUUGCAAUGAGCUCAGACGGCUAGCGUGCUUCAUUUGAAGGUCAUGUUCAGUUCACUUUGUAAAAUUUGAAAGAAAUGUUUCAAAAUACAUUUUUGUAUAAGUUAUAGUUAUUACAAUAAACUGUAGUUUAAUGGGUUGUGUGUUGUGGAUGGAGUUAUAGAAUCUCUUGUAUUUAAGUCAUUAAAGAAGCAUACGAAAGACAUAAGAAACACAGUCAUACGCCUAAUGCUAAUUACAAAUGCUAAAUUGAGAUUGAAUCGUUAUUUUUGGAUAAAUCUUUGCUUGAUUUGCGUUAGAGGGAGGCUUUCAGAAAGGACAGAAUCCUCUGCCAGCUGGUCAGUUCUAUUUUACCAGCCACGUUUUGCUCUCUGUAAAUACGUUUUGGCUAACGUUAAUGCUAAACACAUGAUUAUUGAUCAUCCAGCUACGCCAUGAAACAGAGCACUACUUACGGGAAAAUGCGAUCUACCUGACUGAAGACCCUUACACAAUCAACAAGGAAAGCCGUUAGUAUUAUUAAAAAGUGGGGAAAAACAGCAUUUUACAUUUCAGUAAGUUAUAGGGUAUUCUUAAACUUGUUAACCGUGUGGUUAUUUCUGAUCUUAGACGUAAAACAUAACAUGCUUUACAUAACAUCCGGUCUAAAAUACAGAAAAUAUAUCAUGAAUUAUCAGCAAAUGUCUAGUAUUUCAUGAGCUUAGUGUUUUUUAGCAUAGCUCUUCUUAGCACCAUUUAACUAGUUCAAUGUAAUUUGGCAUUAUUAUUUUGCUUUGAAUGUGAUUCAUUGUAUAUUCUCAUUUUUUGUAUGGAAUAUUUAUAUUGUGUUUUAAACAAUUAAUGUCAAUUUAGAUGGAAUGUAUUACUGCACAUGUCAAACUGUGUUUGUUUUUCUUUUCAUAGGUUUGGAAUGCAGUACGCAGGGAGAUCCCGGCAGCAUCCUUGCUUGUAUACUGACUGCAUCUGCACUUUUAAAACUUUAGGCUUCUGGUGUGCUGCUCAAAAUAAACCUACAGCUCUCAAAAGUCUACCUUUGUUUAUGAGGGAAAAAGUCUGGAAACUUCCUGAAGUCUUGCCUGGACACAGACCCAGAAGACACUCACACAAAAGGGAUGAAGAAGGGGGUCUUAACUGUCGUUGAAGAUGAUGUUGCCACCAUCCAUUCAAACCCAAAUGUAAGGUGCCUGUCUGUAGUUUUAGAGGAGCAAGUUGUGCUGGAUAAUGUGCAAGACGUCCCUACAGCUGUUGCUCUCCUAUUUGACUUGAUUUAUGCCAUCAAAAUCAUUAGCUAUCCUGAAGAACUAAAAUACACUUCUGAAACUAUUCAGAAAGUGUUUAUUGACCUUGACCCCCAGUGCUCUUCAAGAGUCCAGUGAUUCAAAACAAAUUGGUAAAGUUGAAGUAGCUGCAGUUCAGAUGGCUAAUCAAAAGUGCAAGUACUGAUUUGUUCCUGUUUGUUUAGUAGCUGUAUAACAGUACAACAUAUGCCAAAGUCAGUUUUGAGUUUUAAUGUAAGGUUUAAUGACUUUCAAGUUUUGUUUAUAACAGUUAAUACUUCAUUGCUCUAAUGAAUGUGUUGAAACUCUGCUUGUUUAUUUUGGGAGCAUUUUAAGAUUAUUCUGGCACUUUGAGAACAAUUUAUUUUACUCCAGCACUUUAAAGGCAUUACAAGAUUGCCUCUUUUGCCUUUUAUUUUAUUUCAAUUUUAUAUAUAUAUUUUAUUUUCAAUUAUUUAUUAUAUUUUGAUGACUAGAGAAAAAACUACCUGAAUCCAAUUUUUGCAGUUCAUGUUGACAGGAAAUGUGUCGGUUGGCAAAAUUGUAAAAUAAACAUUUUUCUCUAAAAAAAUGUCUUUUUUCAUUGUGUUUACAGUAUGGUUGCAAUAUCUGUGUUUGAUUUUUAAUGUGAAAUUCCUGUGCCAAACAGGAAUUUGUGAAAGAAGUUUGAAUGAAACAUUCAAAGCUGUAAAUUAAAAGAAGAAAAUUAAGUUGAACCAACUUAAAAAAUGUAGUAAAUUUGCUGCAAAGCUUUUUUGAGUUUACUGAACUUCAGGUCUGUAGUUCUCCCUACUUGUUUUUUAAAGUUCACUCAACCCCCUUUUUAAAUUUAAACAAACUCAUGAUGACUAGUUAGAUGUACCUACUGAGGAAGGUUAGAUGAACUUACUGAGGAAGGUAUACCUAACUUAAGAUAGCAGUUUCAAUCCACUUUCUACAAUGAUUUGGCAUAACUUUAACCACGGAAGUUGAGUAAACUCAAAAUUGCUUUGCAGCAAAUUUACUAAAUUUUUUAACUUAACUCAA